UUCAUGAAGUCGGAAUUGCUAGUAAUGGCAGGUCAGCAUACUGCCGUGAAUACGUUCCCGGGCCUUGUACACACCGCCCGUCACACCAUGAGAGUUGGAGAUACCCGAAGCCUAUGAGCUAACUUUUAGAGGCAGUAGUCGAAGGUAGAAUCAAUGAUUGGGGUGAAGUCGUAACAAGGUACC
RNAcentral lists this ribosomal RNA (183 nucleotides) under uncultured bacterium. RNAcentral describes it as "partial 16S ribosomal RNA". It matches the Rfam family "Bacterial small subunit ribosomal RNA", at positions 1317 to 1500 of the family's 1533-position model. The record is from RNAcentral.